GUAGUGACGAAAAAUAACGAUGCAGAACUCAAUCCGAGGCUCUGCAAUCGGAAUGAGUACACUCUAAAUCAUUUAACGAGUAUCCAUUGGAGGACAAGUCUGGUGCCAGCACCCGCGGUAAUUCCAGCUCCAAUAGCGUAUAUUAAAGUUGUUGCGGUUAAAAAGCUCGUAGUUGGAACUGUGUUCCACGCUGUCGGUUCACCGUUUUGUCGGUGUUUAACUGACAUGUCGUGGUACGUCCUGCCGGUUGGUGGCGUGUCCUCUAUUCUUUCGGGGAUAUGGGGAUGCGUCUGCCAGUUCCAAUCCUGUCGCGGUGCUCUUAAACGAGUGUCGAGGCGGGCCGGCACGUUUACCUUGAACAAAUUUGAGUGCUUAAUGCAGGCUGUUAUCGCCGGAAAACUGAGUGCAUGGAAUAAUAUAAUAGGACCGCGGUUCUAUUUUGUUGGUUUUCAGAAUCCGAGGUAAUGAUUAAUAGGGACUGGCGGGGGCAUUAGUAUUGCGGCGUUAGAGGUGAAAUUCUUGGAUCGUCGCAAGACUAACCUAAGCGAAAGCAUUUGCCAAGGAUGCUUCCAUUAAUCAAGAACGAAAGUUAGAGGUUCGAAGGCGAUCAGAUACCGCCCUAGUUCUAACCAUAAACGAUGCCAGCCAGCGAUCCGUCGACGUUCUUUUAUGACUCGGCGGGCAGCUUCCGGGAAACUAAAGCAUUUGGGUUCCGGGGGAAGUAUGGUUGCAAAGCUGAAACUUAAAGGAAUUGACGGAAAGGCACCACCAGGAGUGGAGCCUGCGGCUUAAUUUGACUCAACACGGGAAAUCUCACCAGGCCAGAACACCAGGUGGAUUGACAGAUUGAGAGCUCUUUCUUGAUUUGGUGGUGGUGGUGCAUGGCCG
Molecule: ribosomal RNA, 888 nt
Filed under: Hemipsocus chloroticus
Lineage: Eukaryota; Metazoa; Arthropoda; Insecta; Psocodea; Hemipsocidae
Description: SSU rRNA
Rfam family: Eukaryotic small subunit ribosomal RNA
Source: RNAcentral